Molecule: ribosomal RNA, 251 nt
Filed under: uncultured bacterium
Lineage: Bacteria
Description: partial 16S ribosomal RNA
Rfam family: Bacterial small subunit ribosomal RNA
Source: RNAcentral
CGGGUGAGUAACGCGUGGGUAACCUGCCUCAUACAGGGGGAUAACAGUUAGAAAUGACUGCUAAUACCGCAUAAGCACACAGAAUCGCAUGAUUCGGUGUGAAAAACUCCGGUGGUAUGAGAUGGACCCGCGUCUGAUUAGCUAGUUGGUGGGGUAAAGGCCUACCAAGGCGACGAUCAGUAGCCGACCUGAGAGGGUGAUCGGCCACAUUGGGACUGAGACACGGCCCAAACUCCUACGGGAGGCAGCAG